Molecule: long non-coding RNA, 647 nt
Organism: Pan troglodytes (chimpanzee)
Lineage: Eukaryota; Metazoa; Chordata; Mammalia; Primates; Hominidae
Exons: 2
Source: RefSeq, a predicted model, not a curated record
CAGCAAGGCUCAGGCUGGGCCUUGGAUGAUCGGCAGCUGUGAGCGCAGCGGGGCCUGGCGUCUGCCCACAGAUGUGGCUGGUGUGCCUAGCCGACGCUGCUCUGGAUUCUGUGACAAUCUGCAGCUUAUCUUUCAAAGCCUAUCUCCCCACCCAUUUCUACACCUCAGCAGUCAGCCUGCACAGUGGGGACGCAGCAGGAUCAGGAUGUUUAACUCCUCUAUAUGCCAGCAAGGUUUGGUGAGAAAGACCUCCAAAUACAUAGUGAUCAACUCUGCUCUGAUCGAAAUCUGGUAAUAGGACUGAGUCCCUGCCCUGGGCCAGGCAUUUUGCCAGGGAAGGAGGUGAGUGCAGGCGUGGAAAGAUCGCACCAGACACCUGCCCUAUGGACCUUGCAGCCUCUGGCAACAGAUCAGACAGUCAUCAAAGAAUGAGCCCACAGACAUGGGGCAACUGCAUCUUUCACAACUGCCAAAAGAGGCUGUAAUGAUUGGGUCUGGUAGGGAGGCCAGGGAAGGCUUCCUGGAGGAAGUGACACGUAAAUGUAUGAAGACAGAAAGUCCAUAUCCCGCCAUAAAUAAAACACCAGCAUCUCUUGACACCACAGAAGUUAAACUAUAAAUACAACAGAGGCAGGACAGGGUGACCA